Molecule: ribosomal RNA, 214 nt
Filed under: uncultured bacterium
Lineage: Bacteria
Description: partial 16S ribosomal RNA
Rfam family: Bacterial small subunit ribosomal RNA
Source: RNAcentral
UCUCAGUUCGGACUGUAGGCUGCAACUCGCCUACACGAAGUCGGAAUCGCUAGUAAUCGCGGAUCAGCAUGCCGCGGUGAAUACGUUCCCGGGCCUUGUACACACCGCCCGUCACACCAUGAGAGUUGGAGAUACCCGAAGCCUAUGAGCUAACUUUUAGAGGCAGUAGUCGAAGGUAGAAUCAAUGAUUGGGGUGAAGUCGUAACAAGGUACC